Molecule: ribosomal RNA, 432 nt
Filed under: uncultured bacterium
Lineage: Bacteria
Description: bacterial SSU rRNA
Rfam family: Bacterial small subunit ribosomal RNA
Source: RNAcentral
GGGCCUGCACAAGCGGUGGAGCAUGUGGUUUAAUUCGAUGCAACGCGAAGAACCUUACCAGGGCUUGACAUCCUGCGAACCUCUGGGAAACCGGAGGGUGCCUUCGGGAACGCAGUGACAGGUGGUGCAUGGCUGUCGUCAGCUCGUGUCGUGAGAUGUUGGGUUAAGUCCCGCAACGAGCGCAACCCACGUCUUUAGUUGCCAGCAUUUAGUUGGGCACUCUAGAGAGACCGCCGGUGACAAACCGGAGGAAGGUGUGGAUGACGUCAAGUCAUCAUGCCCCUUACGUCCUGGGCUACACACGUACUACAAUGCUACGGACAAAGAGCAGCUAACUCGCGAGAGUACGCAAAUCUCAUAAACCGUGGCUCAGUUCAGAUCGUAGGCUGCAACUCGCCUACGUGAAGGAGGAAUCGCUAGUAAUCGCAGGUC